AAAAAUAAAUUGUUAACGCAGAACAUUUUUUGUAAAUUUUUAAAUGUGCGAAAAUAGUAGUAGAUACAUAGACGUAUUAUAAUAUUAGGUGUCAUACUUCAAUUUCUCUCUAAUUGGUGGAUCAUAUGAAUUCCUUGCAAUGGGCUUAAGUCAGACAUUUUUACAAUAAUUUAAGUUCGUAUUAUAUGUUUGUAAUUUAGAUCUUUGGGUGAACAGUCCAACUUGGGAGAAUGAUAUUAAAAUAUACACUAAUAAUCAACAAACGGCCUCUGGAGAAUAUUUUGAUAAAUUUAUAUCAAAACAAAAAGACAAAAUCAUCAAUGAGGAGCCGCUAAUUACCCCAAUACAAUUUUGUGUUUCCUUUAGCAGUUCUUAUACUGGAUAGUAAUAAUUAAUACAAAAAAAUAUUUUUAUUUCUUAUUAUAUACUUGCACUUUUAAAACUAUGAUGGUCUAAUGUAAGAAAUUGUAUUCUCUAUUAGAUAGAAUGAUUUUAUAUUUUAUAAUAUUUAUGAUUUAUAUAACCUUAUUAUUAGAUAUAUUUAUA
Molecule: long non-coding RNA, 546 nt
Organism: Acyrthosiphon pisum (pea aphid)
Lineage: Eukaryota; Metazoa; Arthropoda; Insecta; Hemiptera; Aphididae
Exons: 4
Source: RefSeq, a predicted model, not a curated record